This 484-nucleotide ribosomal RNA is filed under the name uncultured bacterium. Its description in RNAcentral is "bacterial SSU rRNA". It matches the Rfam family "Bacterial small subunit ribosomal RNA", at positions 28 to 512 of the family's 1533-position model. The record is from RNAcentral.
GACGAACGCUGGCGGCGUGCCUAACACAUGCAAGUCGAACGAAGCUCUGCGAUACAAGACUUCGGUCAAGUUGAACAGAUGACUUAGUGGCGGACGGGUGAGUAACGCGUGAGGAACCUGCCUUUCAGUGGGGGACAACAGUUGGAAACGACUGCUAAUACCGCAUAAUGUAUUCUGACCGCAUGAUCGGAAUACCAAAGAUUUAUUGCUGAAAGAUGGCCUCGCGUCUGAUUAGAUAGUUGGUGAGGUAACGGCUCACCAAGUCGACGAUCAGUAGCCGGACUGAGAGGUUGAACGGGCCACAUUGGGACUGAGAUACGGCCCAGACUCCUACGGGAGGCAGCAGUGGGAAUAUUGGGCAAUGGGGGAAACCCUGACCCAGCAACGCCGCGUGAAGGAGAAGGCUUUCGGUGUAAACUCUUUUACCAGGGACGAAGGACGUGACGGUACCUGGAGAAAAAGCCACGGCUAACUACGUGCCAGC